This is a long non-coding RNA of Centrocercus urophasianus (Greater sage-grouse), 3297 nucleotides long. RefSeq lists it as uncharacterized. The record is from RefSeq and is a predicted model, not a curated record. NCBI's taxonomy places the organism in Eukaryota, Metazoa, Chordata, Aves, Galliformes, Phasianidae. The transcript has 5 exons.
AGGAGCGCUAUGACUGUGGUCAUGUAUGCAAGCUUCAGGUAAUCUUUAUAAUUGGUUAGUCGAAAAAGUUUGAAGGUUUGUGCAAAUAUAUCCCCAAGACAGCAGGAACCUUUGUGCUCGUGCUUCACCAGGUGAUGUAUCUGCCAGGCUUUCUAGAGCAGCUUGAAGUACUUUUCAGAACAAAAUCACCUGUAACAAGCACAAAACAUACUUUGUGCACUCUAUGGAAGCCCAGAGCCCAGGCCAUUUUACAGAACUCCAGUUUUUGCUAUGCUUCAACACAGAUAAAAGCCUGACAGCUGAGCCGUUUUAAAGCACCCCAUAAAACCCUUGAGUCAUGCAAAAUCCUAUCACAUUUUUCCCUCUGGUUGAAAAGUUAUGAAUGGUACAAGUGCUAUUAAAUCAUAGAUAAAGAAUGCUGAGUGAUGGGUUAGUAAAAAUAAUUUUAAAAACUCCUUGUUUUCAUCUAUAUCUUAUUUCCCUGGGUGUGAAUUCAACAGGUAAGACUGAAAUAUCACAGCUUACCCCCAAAAGGAGUGGCGUGCAGCUGGAUCCCUUGGAGAGUCGCUAUUCCUUUUCUUGGUUUCCUUACUGCUGCAGGCAAAUUAUGAUUUUAAUACUUCUCCUUUAUUGAGCACAGCUAAUUUCCCCACCCUAUACCAGCUCAACUUCUCUGGCAGGAAUGUUGGGGAUGGCAGACCUGUGCUUUCAUCUGCUCCCAAGCCUCCUGCUGACAAAACUGCACCUCUGUGAUCCCACUCAACCAGCUUUUAGCCCAGCUGCCCAGCCAGGUAGGCAGAGUUGGGGGCAACGUGGUGUCCUCUGUAUGCUUGCAUCCACCAGUGCUGCUCUGCCAGCUGCUGACCCAGUACCAUGAGGAUACCUAUAUCCCUCUGGCUGUUUUUUUUUCUAGAAUAAAGCUACCUGGAACUACUGCUUGGUUCAGGAGCAAACCCCUCUGAAAAGGUUGUGCAUACAUCUUACUUCAAAACUUCUAUGUGACCUUUCCCACUGAUGUCAGGCUUGUGCAGAGGAGAGCAAGCCACAGAGCCCCGUGUCUCAUCUUUUUGUCCCAGCCACCAGGUGCUUUCUGACGGACAUGCAGAGAUCAAAUAAAUGAAAUCCCACUUUACUACAGAAAGAGAGACCUGUCACCAUGGUGCUGGGCUCAGAGAGCUGCAGAGCAAAAGCUUCACCAAGCCGUAUGGCUGAAUUGUUCCCUUCUUCGUCGCCCAUUAAAAAAAUCUAAGUGGAAGAUGAGAAGCUGCCUGCUUUAGGUUCAUGUAUGAAUAAUUAUAGGUACCUGCACUACCAAGGGACUUUCUGAAAGACGAGUAAAGAGCUGGGCCUCUUCAGGGAAUCUGUGGCAAGCAGGUCAUUCAAAAAUAACUUUUGGAGGCUAUGGGAAGUGGGUGAAAUGAAGUAACAAACAGCUUCUGAAAAAAACAGCCAAUGAAAGGGAGUGUUUCAUCUGAUAUCACAAACUGUUAGUUUUCAUUCUGAUCCUGUUGUUUUCUUCUUUAUAUAGCUCAUAGAGUGCCCUUAAGUUGUCUCCAAAGGAUAUUAAUUUUCCACUGGCAUCAGAAAGGCUGAAGUGAUACUUGCAAUGAGGGUAAAUGACUCCCUUGAGGUUUUGGCACCCACAGCUCUGGCCUAACUGGAAACACAGGCAAUUAAUAAAUCAGAAAAUCAGUGCCUCUCGGCCCUCACUGCUCUAGGGAAUCCAAUGGGAGCUUUGUCAGUAGGACUAGGAGACUAGACCAAGACCACAGAGCGUGCCCCAUAAUGGACUUGCAUGUGGAAAAGCUCGGCUGUCUACAACGAAUGCCAGCUCUUAAAAGUACUGAUCAAGGUCUGAAGUAGACUGAAGCAGAAAACCCUGAACAAGAACUGGGAUCCACCGCAAACAGGGAGGUGUCUUCAGCCACUAUGGGAGGACUGCUGCAGCCACAUGGUGAUGCUGAGUGAAGCUCACCAGCAACCAGAAAAUACAACUGGUUCUUGCUCUCAGGGAUGUAAGGCCAUCUCAGAUAGUAAUGUCUAAAGCAUCAAAACUUAUUCCUUGUGAAGCCUGGGUGAUAACUGGUAAUUAAGACUGUAACAGCCACAAGCUGUGAUAUGCUGUCAUCUACACAAAAUCUACCUGAUUCCAGCUCAUCUGGAAGCAAAAACAUCACUAUGAUUGCUGAGAUAGGAAUUGAAAGCCAGCCUGUUUCCCAGGGUCCUCUUAAAGUUUUCAUGCUGGCUGAAAGUAGAUCAUAAGCUCUGUGGCACUUGUCACCAUUACUUUACCUCCUUUUUUUGUGUGUGCGCAGAGAACCGUUUGCAAUGUGAAAUAGUGCUAGACAUUGCCAAAAAAGCCAACCAAACACCCUGCUUAUGCUACUUGGAUGCAAGACAUCUUUAGAAGAUGGACUCCGGGGGACAAACAAAUAAUACCAACAAAGUUUCAGGGUCCUUUGCGGGCUCUUGGCUUCCCAAAAUGAUGUGACAUGGAAAACCCUCAGCUGAGUUUGACAUGUGGAUAAACCAAAGCAUCAAGUACCUGCGCAUCUAACACUUGGGCACUCAAAUCCUCAUAAAGGCACUGGGAGCUCAUGGGAGCUCAGGAGACGCACAUACAGGAGGCAUUUGAGAGCCAGGACUACAGCAAAGAAUCAGAACUGGACCAAGAUUGUGGCUUUAUGGCUGAAAGGUACAGAACUAAAACUAAGGUCUAGGAGCUCCAAAAGAGUUAUCAGUGCUGUGCUUGUGUUGUUAAUGGAAAUGGCUUCAGUCUGCCUUCCUGCUUGUGCCAGCCACAGCCCUUGGCACGGUGCAGGCAGCUCACACGUGCAUCAUGAUCAGCACCCUGCUGGGAGAGAGCUUCACCAUCUGAGUGCUCACAGCCCCUCCAGCAGCUCACCCAGCCCUUCGUCUGCAGGAGCUCCGACUGCUUGGGCCUGUGCCUCAGAGGAGGUCAGCAGCAAGCUCCAUGCUUCCCAAGGGAUGCACAGUUCUUGGUAAGCAUCUGGCUGUAACAGGCACGGCUAAAAUGCCACAUUGGGCACAAUUCAAUGCAGUAAUUUCCACACUCGUUCUCGUUCUGAUGACGACUCAAUGAGCUCAAAGUCUUUGCAAAGUUUAUGCACCACAUGCUUGCACAGGUCUUGGUCUGUGAUGAAUCUGUAGCUUCCAACAAAUUACAGUUGGUGUGCUAUUUUAUUUACAUAGGAUUCAUCUAAUUCAAAUGACUAGAUGAAAUCCUUUCAUCUUCAGGGCACAGGAGGUCAGAGUACGGUGAUUUUAUACGGCUGC